AGCGAACGCUGGCGGCAGGCUUAACACAUGCAAGUCGAACGGGCAUCUUCGGAUGUCAGUGGCAGACGGGUGAGUAACACGUGGGAACGUACCCUUCGGUUCGGAAUAACUCAGGGAAACUUGAGCUAAUACCGGAUACGCCCUUUUGGGGAAAGGUUUACUGCCGAAGGAUCGGCCCGCGUCUGAUUAGCUUGUUGGUGGGGUAACGGCCUACCAAGGCGACGAUCAGUAGCUGGCCUGAGAGGAUGAUCAGCCACACUGGGACUGAGACACGGCCCAGACUCCUACGGGAGGCAGCAGUGGGGAAUAUUGGACAAUGGGCGCAAGCCUGAUCCAGCCAUGCCGCGUGAGUGAUGAAGGCCUUAGGGUUGUAAAGCUCUUUUGUCCGGGACGAUAAUGACGGUACCGGAAGAAUAAGCCCCGGCUAACUUCGUG
This 435-nucleotide ribosomal RNA is filed under the name uncultured bacterium. RNAcentral's name for it is "partial 16S ribosomal RNA". It matches the Rfam family "Bacterial small subunit ribosomal RNA", at positions 29 to 507 of the family's 1533-position model. The record is from RNAcentral.